This 64-nucleotide transfer RNA is filed under the name Cavia porcellus (domestic guinea pig). It matches the Rfam family "tRNA". Rfam says of the family: Transfer RNA (tRNA) molecules are approximately 80 nucleotides in length. Their secondary structure includes four short double-helical elements and three loops (D, anti-codon, and T loops). The record is from Rfam by way of RNAcentral. Lineage: Eukaryota; Metazoa; Chordata; Mammalia; Rodentia; Caviidae.
GGGGAUUUAGCUCAGUGGCAUAAGCACCUGCCUUACAAGUACGAAGUUGUAAAUUCAAUCCCCA